GACGAACGCUGGCGGCGUGCUUAACACAUGCAAGUGGAACGGAAAGGCCCUGCUUUUGUGGGGUGCUCGAGUGGCGAACGGGUGAGUAACACGUGAGUAACCUGCCCUUGACUUUGGGAUAACUUCAGGAAACUGGGGCUAAUACCGGAUAGGAGCUCCUGCUGCAUGGGGGUGGUUGGAAAUUUUCGGCGGUUGGGGAUGGACUCGCGGCUUAUCAGCUUGUUGGUGGGGUAGUGGCUUACCAAGGCUUUGACGGGUAGCCGGCCUGAGAGGGUGACCGGCCACAUUGGGACUGAGAUACGGCCCAGACUCCUACGGGAGGCAGCAGUGGGGAAUAUUGCACAAUGGGCGGAAGCCUGAUGCAGCAACGCCGCGUGCGGGAUGACGGCCUUCGGGUUGUAAACCGCUUUCGCCUGUGACGAAGCGUGAGUGACGGUAAUGGGUAAAGAAGCACCGGCUAACUACGUG
This 468-nucleotide ribosomal RNA is filed under the name uncultured bacterium. RNAcentral's name for it is "partial 16S ribosomal RNA". It matches the Rfam family "Bacterial small subunit ribosomal RNA", at positions 28 to 507 of the family's 1533-position model. The record is from RNAcentral.